Molecule: long non-coding RNA, 2458 nt
Organism: Ailuropoda melanoleuca (giant panda)
Lineage: Eukaryota; Metazoa; Chordata; Mammalia; Carnivora; Ursidae
Exons: 3
Source: RefSeq, a predicted model, not a curated record
AUGAUGCAUCGGAAGAAGCGGGGAUGUGGGCCAGGGUGCCCCACGGGCAUCGACUUGAAGCCACUUGUUUUCAAAUAGGAAGCUCAUGAAAUAAUUGCAUCUUGCGUCCUUCACCCUUGUUUCCUGCAUCCCCAGCCCAGCCCCCACCGUUCUGCAGAGGACACGUGGCCCCUGUGAGCCGCAGCGCAAAGAGAAGGCUGGAAUCCGGUCCCGGUUCCUCGGCACCUCGCAGCUGUGUGGCCUUGGGCCGCUCGGAACAGUACGCUCUUCCUCCGAGACCACCUCUGGCUUAGGGCCUGGCCUAGGUGGGUGCCCCCCAGGUGGCUGGUGCGCGGGAGGCUGGUUCUCGUUCUACAGUCUUCCCCAGCAGCCAUCCCACUCCUGUGGACCCCCAUGAUUUUCAGCAACCAUCCAGACAUGCCUGGAAUGCCCGGGAAGAGAAAUUUCAAAAGCCCAAAUAUUUGGCUCAAAGAAGAGGGAAAAACUGACACCACCUCCCCCCCGCCGCUGACAUCUCUCCAUCACUACCAAGGCCGAUGUUGGAGGCACUCCACGGAGUGAACAAGAGCCCGGCCUCCUGACUCCAGGUCGCCCCAAACCUGGACACGAUUCAUGUGCCAGAGCUCCCCCCCACCGCUGCAGGAUCAGGCGGAAGCAAGUCGCCAGCAGAGACCACAUCCUCGCUUAGCUCCUUCCCCUGCCCCGGCCGCUUCCUGCACUCUUCUCCUGAGAGCUCCUUUCCAAUAAACCACUCAAAUGAGCAUCUCUAUUUCAAGCUUUGCUUCAGAGAAGCUAUGCUGAGCCCAGCUUUGAUUUACCUCCGUGGCGAUUCCUGAGGACUCCCUCUGAACGAUGCCCCACCCCAGACAGGGGUAAGAAGCAGCCCCGGCAUCAUUCGUGGAAGUUCUGCUCGUUGGAUAUACGUCCAAGAUGGCCAGAGCCAGGGGAAACCUUAGCCAACAUAGAGCUCCGUACUUCCUGGAGCGGGUCCUGAGGACUAUCAAGAAAGCAGACAAAACCAGGAUUCCAAAAACUCGGCAAACCCAAUUUUAUGUUUAACCAAGAACCAAAAACAAAAUGUUUAUUAUUUUUCUUUAAAUUGACUUAAAGCCCAUGAUGACAUCAUGUAAAAGGUGAACAUCUAGUGAAUCCAUUUGAACCAGAACAGAGACUUUCUUUGCUUAAAAGUGAGGCGUCUUAACAAAACAUUCGCUCGCUCUGUUGAGCCUCGUACGGAGUCCCCACCACAUACCAGGAAUUGGCGACACAAGGGUAGAAAGACAGGCGCACUCCCUGCCCUCCCAGAGCUCAGACUCUGGUGGGAGGACUCCAGAGAAGAAAGCGGGUGAUUUUGAGCCAGGCCAAGGAGUGUGUUGCUGGGGUCGGACAGGUGUCCUUGACACUGGGAGGGGCCUUCCGUUCCCAAGCAGGGUGAUAGGAGGCUGAGGACAGGAAGCGGAGCCUGGAGUAUGGGUCACAGCCAGCCCAAGGAGAGAAGGGAGGCCUGGUAAGAUUGUUGCAGACAGACAGCAGUACAUGCAAGGAACCUGCUGAGGGCAGCUGAGAGGUGAGCGCACGGCCCAGACCAGUAGGCACUAGAUGUUGUCCCAAAGAGGCGGGCCUUUGCCGUGACAGUGCUGGGGAGCCAGCGAAGGCCCUAGACAGAGGCCUGAUCAGAUCGCAGUCCCACUUGGUAUCGAUGUACUCUCCAAAAUGCACUGGACUAGAAACGUGUACUUCAAGCAUGAUGAGCUCUGGUUCUCGCCGGGCUGUGUGGGCACAAGGAAGACCCAACGCCAUACAAUCUCCAGGUCGGGCAGAGACUCCAGCCCCAGCGGGGACGCUCACAUGCAGAGGGCAGCUGGGCUCCGAGAGCCAGCACCUUCUGAGCAGCCCCGAGCUUCUGCCUCCGCAGCAGUCCCUCUCCCCAGGGGGGAAGGGGCCCCUUGAUCUGGGAACCAGGAUGGGCUAUUGAUUUCACAGCCGGCACAGGAGACCACGUACCGCUGGGGAACGUCACAUAUGUGACCAAGAAGAAAUGAAAUAGAAUCACAAACGCUUCCAAGAACCCCUUCCUCAUCCAACAAGGAAGAGGAAUCCUUUGUAGGGUUCCGACAACUUCAGGAGGAAAUACAAAUGGAAGAAGAAAAGAGGAAGCAAGAGUGCUUAGCUUGAGGGUGCCUGGGAGGCUCAGUUGGUUAAGGAUCUGUCUUCGGCUCAGGUCAUAAUGGGAUCAAGCCCCGCAUUGGGAUCCCUGCUCAGCAGGGAGUCUGCUUCUCCCUCUGCCCCUCCUCCUGCUCGUGCUCUCUCUCUCUUUAAAGACAUAAAUAAAAUCUCUUAAAAAAGAAAAAAGAAAUCGUUUCAUUUGAUGGGCAGGUGCCUGGAGAGGGAAGGUGAGGGGUUUGCAGAGAGAAUGGCUGGAGUGGGAGUUUGGGGAAGCUCUGUCCUACUGGACCAA